Molecule: ribosomal RNA, 477 nt
Filed under: uncultured bacterium
Lineage: Bacteria
Description: partial 16S ribosomal RNA
Rfam family: Bacterial small subunit ribosomal RNA
Source: RNAcentral
AUUGAACGCUGGCGGCAGGCUUAACACAUGCAAGUCGAGCGGGCGUAGCAAUACGUCAGCGGCGUAAGGGACAGGAACACGUAGACUACCUGCCCUCGGGUCUGGGAUAGCCACGGGAAACUGUGGGUAAUACCAGAUGACAUCUCCGGAUCAAAGGUGUGAUUCCGCCCGAGGAUGGGUCUGCGUCCUAUUAGCUAGUUGGUGAGGUAACGGCUCACCAAGGCGAUGAUGGGUAGCAGGUGUGAGAGCACGACCUGCGUCAUUGGGACUGAGAUACUGCCCAGACACCUACGGGUGGCUGCAGUCGAGAAUUUUUGGCAAUGGGGGCAACCCUGACCAAGCGAUGCCGCGUGCGGGAUGAAGGCCUUCGGGUUGUAAACCGCUGUCAGUGGGGAGAAAAGGAUGGUGAGUUAUCUCAUCAUUUUGAUCUAUCCGCAGAGGAAGUGAGGGCUAAGCUCGUGCCAGCAGCCGCAGUAA